CAACUGAACCGCACUGGCCAGGGCCUGGGAGAACUUUUAAACACACAUAAACGUACAGAGAAUAGUGGGCCCCAUUGUGGAAAGAGCCCUGUUCUAGGAAGCGAACAUUCUACCCUCCAAGCUACCUUCUGAACUAUUGCCUGUGAUCUUGCACAAGUCACUGACCUUUAGUGACCCUCAGUUUGCUCAUCUGCAGAUGAUCUCUGAAGGUCAUAAUCAGGCCAACAUUUUUCUCAACUAAAGUUAGCUGGUACAAAUUCAAUCAAUAAAAUUAAGUGGAGACACUAGGAAAACUGACAGAAAAAAACAGCAACUGAGAACUUAAAAACCACCAUCAACAAUUUGACUCGUUCAAAAUAGCCUACAGGUGGC
This is a long non-coding RNA of Phyllostomus discolor (pale spear-nosed bat), 372 nucleotides long. RefSeq lists it as uncharacterized. NCBI's taxonomy places the organism in Eukaryota, Metazoa, Chordata, Mammalia, Chiroptera, Phyllostomidae. The transcript has 3 exons. The record is from RefSeq and is a predicted model, not a curated record.